This 100-nucleotide transfer RNA is filed under the name Xanthobacter flavus. Its description in RNAcentral is "tRNA-Thr". RNAcentral also lists the same sequence under 3 other names. The record is from RNAcentral. Lineage: Bacteria; Pseudomonadati; Pseudomonadota; Alphaproteobacteria; Hyphomicrobiales; Xanthobacteraceae.
UGGGCGCCAGGGUUCCGGCCACGGUGACUGUGCCGUUGGUGCCGGUGGUGACGAGGCGGGAAUAAUUGCCCGCGCCGGUUCCGGUGCCGGUGCCGUCGAU